RNAcentral lists this ribosomal RNA (253 nucleotides) under uncultured bacterium. RNAcentral's name for it is "partial 16S ribosomal RNA". It matches the Rfam family "Bacterial small subunit ribosomal RNA", at positions 524 to 776 of the family's 1533-position model. The record is from RNAcentral.
UACGGAGGGGGCUAGCGUUGUUCGGAAUUACUGGGCGUAAAGCGCACGUAGGCGGCUUUGUAAGUUAGAGGUGAAAGCCCAGGGCUCAACCCUGGAAUUGCCUUUAAGACUGCAUCGCUUGAACAUCGGAGAGGUAAGUGGAAUUCCGAGUGUAGAGGUGCAAUUCGUAGAUAUUCGGAAGAACACCAGUGGCGAAGGCGACUUACUGGACGAUUGUUGACGCUGAGGUGCGAAAGCGUGGGGAGCGAACAGG